Zingiber officinale is the source of this 578-nucleotide long non-coding RNA. RefSeq lists it as uncharacterized. NCBI's taxonomy places the organism in Eukaryota, Viridiplantae, Streptophyta, Magnoliopsida, Zingiberales, Zingiberaceae. The transcript is spliced from 3 exons. The record is from RefSeq and is a predicted model, not a curated record.
ACCCGAGCCAUCCCCCGCAUCCCUUCCCUAUUUCCCCGACGCCGCCGCACCCUCUCGAGCCCUAACCGACGCCGCACGGUUUAGCCGCCGCACACGAUCCGCCGGCCGCCGUUGAGCCCUGCCGAAGCUGCUGUGCCCUCUUGCGCCGCUGCCCUCUCUGGAUCGAAGCAGCGCCGGCCACCGCGACUCCCUCUUUUCUUCUUCCCGAGACCUCGCCGGCCACUAGGUUUAACCUAGCGCCAUCGCCCCUCUCCGAUUCUCUGUGCCGGCGACCGAGCCUCCCUUUCUCCCCACGGCAGAGCACCAUUUCUUCCUUUAUUGUGCCGUGUCUGGUUUAAAUUUGGCCGAGCCUUCUUCGGUGUCCUAGGUUUCGGUUGAGAAUCUGUGAAGUGGAUUUUAGCAGCAAAACUUUUAAAGCUUCAGCAGCAACGAUCCUUGUUAUUGAGCCAUAGCGACUGUGGUUAAGCAACCCUUUCAUUUACCGCAGCAAUUUAUCUUUGUUAGCAAUAAGUUUUGUUUUCCAGCAGCAUCUUGGUCCAGCGGCAGUAAGGACUUUGAUUCGGGACGGUAUCUCGACG